CCAUAAAUAUAUUAUUUCUGAAGGAGGAAGAAAUCCCAGAUCUGGAGAUUGACAUCGAUGAACUGUUAGAAAUCUCAGAUGAAGACCAGCGUUCAAAACUCCAGGAGAUGCUGCAUGAAUGUUGUAAACCCACAGACGAUUUUAUUAACGAGCUGCUACUUAGAAUAAAAGGUCUUCGGAAAAUGUCAGUCUCUCAGAAGAAGUGACGCGGACUUCUGCUAUCAAUGGAACAGAGUCACCAAGACGAAAUGGAGUGUGUGGUCAGACCAGCCUUGCCCUGACCUAUUUAUGAAAUAACACCCUUGUUUUGGUCAAAAAAGGGAUCAACUGUGGGACUGAAAUAUGUGAAGCAUGUCAGACUGUGGAUCAAGUUCACUGAUUUAUAACCAGAAAAUAGAGAAUGAGCAGGAUAUGUUUGUGGCUAUUUAUGGAUCAUUUUUGUUAAAAAUGUUAAUAAAAGAUGAUGUGUACGUGUAAUUUCUGCACUGCUGUUGCUGGAACAAAGGACAUUUUAAUCCUCUUACCACCUUUCAAACUGCCCAGGCCUCUUAUUUGAGGGAAUCUGUGCCAAAAGGAGCUUAAGCCCAACUCCAGCCCUCCACUCCCAGUGCAGUACUGGUGGAUUGCUGUACUGGGGGAGGUACCAUUUUUCAGGUGAUAUACUCGAAGGAGGCCCAGCCUACCCAGUUGGCUGGAUGUUAAAAGAUCCCAUGCCUCUAUUUCAAAAGGAAAUAGCAGGAAGUAUUGCAUGUGCUCCUAUUUAUCGCAGCUACUAGUAAAAGUAAAUUCCACGUCAUUGUGGAAUUGCUAUUUGUGGGAUCUUGCUUUGUAAACUGGCUGCUGUGUUUCUUUCAUUGCUGCAGUGGCUCAUUCCAAACAUAGUUCAUCGGCUGUACAGGGCUUUUUGGGCAGCCAGAGAGCGUAUGAAUUACUAUCGAAUUACCAGAAAUGUAAUCAAUUACAUGAUUGUUGAAAGUCAGAUCCGCGUGAGGGAGGAAAUGUAGAACAUUCAGGAACAGAGAGCUCUGACAAGUCAACCAACUGAAGAUGGUGACCCUGCAGGAAGGCAGCAAAUGCCUAACAGCAGGAUUCUGGCAGUCAGUAAAUUGACUAGUCCGCAGAGCAAGUUGGGAGACUGAGUUGGAUUUCUGCCCUAUGCUGUGGGAACAAAUUUAAUCCUUGACGGAUGAUUGGGUCCACAGCAUUGCUGGAGCCAACUAUGUGUGUUUGAAAAAAAAUUAUAAAGUCAGCCAAGAUCUGACUUCACCUUCUGAUCGUUACCCUGUGACACCCUGCCACCCUGACGUUUCUGAUUUCUGCCAAGUUCCUAUUUCAGCAGAAAGUCCUGCUCCUGUGUCCCAAUCACAAAUGCACCUCUCAGCUUGCUGGAGAUCAAACGCUGGAGCCUGGUAACAGGAAGGCAAAACAGCUGAGAACAGGGACAUGGCCUGGCAUCAUUCUAUGUGGUGAGCUGGACUCAGUACCACAUUAUUGGAAGAUAGCAGCUCACCUAGUGCAGGCUUACCCUACAUUUCAAGUCUCAGAUGGACACAUUAGCGGUAAAUGUCAUGAGCUGGGUUUGUGUAACAGCUGGCAUCUCUGUGGUCCAACUGUGAGGUUGAGGGUUAGGUGGAGGGCAUUGUUCUGGAUGUAAUCACCCCUAACAGGUCAUUCUGCUAUAAUGUGCGUUUGCUUAAUGCAAAGUCGCUACAACCUGAUGACGAAUUGGGGACACUGUUUCUAUAGCAUGAACUUUUAAAGUGUGUACUGGUUAUAACCUGAUUCUAGUCCCAUUAACAGUGGUGCUAUUAUGCAAUUUUCUUAUAAUACGGAUUGCACAAGAAUGGAGCUAAUGCAUUAUAGCAGAAUUGACUGCACCUUGAGCGUAUGCAACCGGGGAGAGAAAGUAGAUUGGGUGAUUGCCAGGUAAGGAAGGAGUCCCUUGAGUGUAUCCCAUUCUCUAACAGGUAGUCUGUUGUAAAUAACCAUGUGCUGGUGGCUACAUUUGCUGAUGACACAAAGAUAGCAAGUUCAGUGGUGAAGAGGACGUAAGGAACCUACAAAGGGAUGUGGGUGGACCAAGUGAGUGCGCAAAGAUCUGGUGAAUGGAGUCCAAUGUGAGAAAGUGAACUCGCCCAUUUUGGUAGAAAGAAAUAUUUUACCUAAAUGACGAGAGUAAACCGGGAUUUGAUAGUCCCAGUGCAUUAAACACAGACGUUUAGUAAAUAGCUUUCCUGAUUAUUUGGUAAACCUAAUAGAAAUGUUAUGUUUUAUUGCAAGGGGAAAUGAGGACAAAAGUAAGGAGGGUUUUGCUUCCAUUACAGAGCACUAGUGAAACCACAUUGGAGUACUGAAUACAGUAUCGAUCACUGUACAUAAAAUCCCUAUAUUAUGGAAGCAGGCCACUUGUCCCAUCGAGUCCACAUUGGCCAUCUGAAGAGCAUCCCGCCCAGAUCCUCA
This is a non-coding RNA of Chiloscyllium plagiosum (whitespotted bambooshark), 2460 nucleotides long. NCBI's taxonomy places the organism in Eukaryota, Metazoa, Chordata, Chondrichthyes, Orectolobiformes, Hemiscylliidae. The record is from RefSeq and is a predicted model, not a curated record.